Molecule: long non-coding RNA, 1110 nt
Organism: Ochotona curzoniae (black-lipped pika)
Lineage: Eukaryota; Metazoa; Chordata; Mammalia; Lagomorpha; Ochotonidae
Exons: 2
Source: RefSeq, a predicted model, not a curated record
CUGGGCAGGUGGAGUACCUCCAUCACAGUUGCUCGCCAUCUCCCGGAAUCCGCGGACAUCGGGCAUGCACCUGCGCUGUGCUCCCCCGCGUCCGUCGCGGACGGUGAAGGGACGCUGAGAAUUCCAGCUAUCUGCCACGUGGGUCCAUCACACCUACAUCCGCCCUGCCGAUCCCUUCCCUGAGCGAGACGACUCCUCACCAGAAUGGAAGGCUGUCGGAGACGACAACAACCCCCUCAGACAGUGAAUAUGACUGUACUUCUCACUCUCAUUGCAACUGUAAGUUUGACCCAGGUAACGCCGAACCCACAUUGGCCAUACAGAUGGGAAUUGAGACGAUGGGCGGAUGGCACAGUUGUAACCGCCUUCAAGGGGCCCCUGGGAGGAGAGCCUCCUCACUGUAUAAUCACCUUAUGUUCCCUCGUCACCGGCUCGCCCUGUGAGUGUGCACCCCAGCGUGUGUUGAGGAACGCUGCAGAUUUCUACAUGUGUCCAGCUCAGGGACCUUCUUACUGUAACCGACCUGACCACCACUAUUGUGGAUAUUGGGGUUGCGAAAGGGUGGCAACUGCCUGGCAGCCGCUCCAGGUGGAUGCUGACAUAGCUGUUGGCUGGUGGCCCCCAGGAUGUACAGCGUUGGAGGGCGGCCGAUAUCCGGCACGAGGAAAGGGAAAACCCUGUCCCGCGAAACCACAUGUGACUUGUGUAGACUUGUGUGGACGCAUAAGGAUAAAUAUAACCAAUCCAAAGGACCCAAAAUGGGAUUAUGGAAAAUCAUGGGGAAUGCUUUAUUAUGAGGAAGGGACAGACCAGGGAGGCGGAAUCAUAAUCCAAAGGUACCUGGAAAAAGACUCGCCCACUCCCAUGGGCCCAGAUCGGGUGUUAGCUCCCGCUUCUGGACAAAAAUCGACUCAAGCUACGCUGAGUGUCUACCCAGAACUACUGACGCUGCUGAUACUGACCGUGAGCCGGGAGGGUUAGAUCUUGUAUUCCUCCAGCAAGGAGGCUUAUGCACAGACUGGGAGAAGGAUGCUGUUGCCAAGUUGAUUGUUCAGGAGUAGCAAGGAAUCGCUAGCAAAGGUACUGGAAGGUCUAGCCAAAAGGAGGUGA